GAUUUGUUUCUAACACAUGGUAUAUUAGGAACAUUAUACGUGUGCACAUUUCGCUUCAUGCAUAAUUCAAAUAUGUUAAUGUAUAACUGAGUUGCGUUCUUCUACUUGGGGCAUUUCAAUUUUGCAUUUAUUAUAUAUUUAUAUAACAAUUUCUUCUUUUUUCUUUACUUCUAGUUGUUUUCCUUAAUUUCUCUUGAUCAUAUUCAAUUCCGUGUUACAUUACACACAUAUACGAGUAGUUCUUAUCAAUAUGUGUCUGUUAUCUAAUAUUAAAGAAAAAAUGCAACAUUAUUUAUUUUGUGCACCAUAUUUAUAUUAAACUUAUUUUCUAAAUAAAAAAGGUUAAUUCUUUUCGUUCCGCAGGAUAAUAGAGCCGUUUAUUUUGAAAGUGACCUAACUCCGUUUUUUAAAUUUUUGCCGGUUACCAUGGUUACAUGUACAACUUCAUGUUAUUUAUCAGUGACGCACUUCAGAUUGCUUAUAUUCAGAGAAAAUACGGUACAUUUUUUACACAUAAGUUUUCCGAAUUAAUUGAAUAACUGAGCCGUGCAGUUUGAAAGUGGCCUAACUCCAUUUAUAGUUACAUCAAGAUAUUUACUAUUGAUAAUGUCGGAAAGCAGCGAUGAAGAAAUUAUUGCACCCAUGAGGAAGAACCGAAGAAGACCACUUAGUUCAGAUAGUGAAAAAGAAAUAGUUAUUAAUAAAAAAAAGCGAAUAAGAAAAAGAGUUAUAAAACAAUAUUCCUCGUCAGAGGAUGAAGAUUCAAAUAACAAUGGAGAAAAGAUUGAUGAACCAUAUAUCCAAAAAGUGCGAAAGAUAAAACGGAAUUCAGGAAAAAGAUAUUGCAGUUAAACCGGAAGUAUUGUUCAUGAAAAAAAUUUCGAAAACAAAGAUUGUGGUUGUCGGAAUGCGUGCACAAAAAAUUAUAAUGAAGAAGAAAGAAAGAAUAUUUUUGAGAAGUUUUGGGGUUUGGCAGAUUUUAACAAACAAAAUGUAUUACUUCACGAAGCUGUCUGUGAAACGAAGACGUUUUUUUUUCUUCAAUUUGAAACAUCUUAAAUUAUGUUGAAUGGACUUGGGCAUCUUCAAAUUUUAUAAUGAAUCUGGCUGUUAAUUUUGAAAGUGGCCCAACUCCAUUCUAGAUAAGGAAACGCACGUUAUUUACUUAAUAAUUGCCACUAUUUUAACAGGAACUUUAAAUUUAACAUCCUAAGAUAUGCUUUAGCAGUAUGACUCCUUUGUAUCUUAUACGUAUAUUUUUAAAUUCAUUGAAACGCAAAACUUUCCAUAUCUCGAUUUGAAGAUAAAUGGAGUUAGGCCACUUUCAAAAUAAGCGGCUCAAUUAUUAUAUUUAAUAUUGUUAUUAUUUUUAUUUCUCUGUAAUCCGUAGUUUAAUAGACUGCAACAUGGCAGUUGCAGUUUUAUUAUUGAAAUGUUAGCCGCAAUAGGAAGGAUGUUUGUUAUCGCUUCGUUUUAUCGCUAUUAUCUCUUCUAACGUAAAUACAUCUUUAGCUUAAUCGAUCAUCGCCAUAUCAGUUAUUUGGGCUAAAUAAAUAUGUACAUUUCA
Molecule: long non-coding RNA, 1567 nt
Organism: Dalotia coriaria
Lineage: Eukaryota; Metazoa; Arthropoda; Insecta; Coleoptera; Staphylinidae
Exons: 2
Source: RefSeq, a predicted model, not a curated record